UCAAAACGACUCUCGUCAAUGGAUAUCUUGGCUCUUGCAUCGAUGAAGAACUUUGUAAAAUGCAAUAUUUCGUUUGAAUUGCAGAAUCUCGUGAACCAUCGAUUUUUUGAACGCAAGUUGCGCCUGAAGCCAUUAGACCAAGGGCACAUCUACAUGGGCAUCAC
Molecule: ribosomal RNA, 164 nt
Filed under: Ourisia muscosa
Lineage: Eukaryota; Viridiplantae; Streptophyta; Magnoliopsida; Lamiales; Plantaginaceae
Description: 5.8S ribosomal RNA
Rfam family: 5.8S ribosomal RNA
About the family: 5.8S ribosomal RNA (5.8S rRNA) is a component of the large subunit of the eukaryotic ribosome. It is transcribed by RNA polymerase I as part of the 45S precursor that also contains 18S and 28S rRNA. Functionally, it is thought that 5.8S rRNA may be involved in ribosome translocation.
Source: RNAcentral